ACUAUAAAAUUAUUUUCUUUCCAUUUUGCAGAAAACAGUGGUGCCUCCUGUGGAUUUCGCUGUGUGCCACACAGAUAUCACAAUACAAGAGAACAGAAAAUUCAUUUAAUGCUUCCACUAUUCCUAGAUCAGCAAUAUGCGAUGUUUUCUUCAGAGAAUGUGCAACUCUCAUACACUGUAACUAUACUUAAAAAUCCUCAAAGGAAUAUGUGAGAGAGACUUAAUCUUCUUGAAGCUUAUUAAGAGUCCUUUGUAGCAUACAGGAGGGAAAAUCCUGUAUCAUUUUUACAAGGACUAGAACUUCUCAUACUAAAUUCCCUGCUCAUUUUUAUAGAACUGUCAAGUAUAAAUUACUCAUGCUGUUUCUCCUUAAAAUUCCAUUGAGAAACUGAGGGAGCGUGGAUAGUUUCUUUUAUUUAAAGAGCCUAUUCUCUGAGUUGCUUGCUUUACAUUCCCAUAGGUAUUAAAGUACUUCCUGACCUAUUUCCUCCUUUCUAGAUUGAUGAACCCAAAAUGCAGUAUUUGGAACUCCUGUAGAGAGCCAACAUGAAUUGGGAUGUGAAUAUGGCAGGCCCUCGGUGGAAUGAAUUGCCUCCACAUAAUGAAAAAUGUAUUAGAAACGCAUUUAGCAGUCUCAUGUAACAACCUGUUCCUAGAAAGGAAAAGGCAUUGCUUAACACAAAAGCAAGGAUCAAAGCUAACGUUAUUUGCCAAGAUACCUUUCCUUUUAUUUGUGAGGUACCAUACUUUCUCAUACGUCAUGCCCUGGAAUAUACACCACCUUUAUGAAAGGCAGAAUGAAGGAAAAAACAAGAUUUUAUGGAGUUAUGGCCACACAGAACAGGCGCAGAAUCUAGUCUUCAGAUGAUUCACCCUCCCUUUCCUGCUUAAGCCGGAAUAGGAGGAGAGAGACAAGGAACAGAUAGUAGAUGGCAAAACUAUCCUAAGAAAGAUUAGGACAAUUAGUGGGACAACUAGGAGAGAUGAUCGUUUAUAUAUCUGGAGUAAAGAACAACGAGCCAUUAAGUCAACUGACUCCUUCAUUUGCCUGAAUAGUAAUGCAAUAGCUGAUGCACCUUGGUUCAAAAAUCAGCUUCCAUAUUUCCCUACAUACAUCUUCAUUUGGAAGGAUGGGGGGCAGACUUUGGUGAAAAGGUAAAUGUUGUAUGCAAGAAAACAUGGUAUUUAGAAAAAAAAUUGUAUGCAUUUUUAAGCUAAAACAUAUGAUAAAAGAUCUAGUUGUUUAACUGAUCUAAUUUUGGCUAAUAUAUGCAUAGUACUUUAUCAUCAUUAAAACUGUCAGGCUGCUUCUUUGAAAAGUUACUGCUGAAUAGGUGGAGCACUUUAUUAAACUAUAUCAAAGACCA
Long non-coding RNA from Alligator mississippiensis (American alligator), 1367 nucleotides. RefSeq lists it as uncharacterized. NCBI's taxonomy places the organism in Eukaryota, Metazoa, Chordata, Crocodylia, Alligatoridae. The record is from RefSeq and is a predicted model, not a curated record. The transcript is spliced from 2 exons.